AAUAGGCUAAUUAAGAGCGUAAGGGGAAUGCCUUGGCUCUCAGAGGCGAUGAAGGACGUGAUAAGCUGCGAUAAGCUGUGGGGAGUGGCACAAACACUUUGAUCCGCAGAUUUCCGAAUGGGGUAACCCGGCAUAUUGAAGAUAUGUCACACUGUAAAGUGAGCGAACCUGGUGAACUGAAACAUCUAAGUAACCAGAGGAAUAGAAACAAAAGUGAUUCCGCUAGUAGUGGCGAGCGAACGUGGAACAGCCUAAACCUAUGUUGUUAAGGCAAUAUAGGGGUUGUA
RNAcentral lists this ribosomal RNA (287 nucleotides) under uncultured Flavobacteriaceae bacterium. Its description in RNAcentral is "partial 23S ribosomal RNA". It matches the Rfam family "Bacterial large subunit ribosomal RNA", at positions 1 to 302 of the family's 2925-position model. The record is from RNAcentral. Lineage: Bacteria; Pseudomonadati; Bacteroidota; Flavobacteriia; Flavobacteriales; Flavobacteriaceae.